Long non-coding RNA from Setaria italica (foxtail millet), 1496 nucleotides. RefSeq lists it as uncharacterized. The transcript has 3 exons. The record is from RefSeq and is a predicted model, not a curated record. NCBI's taxonomy places the organism in Eukaryota, Viridiplantae, Streptophyta, Magnoliopsida, Poales, Poaceae.
CGAGCCCUCGUUGAACCACGUCAUCAGCUAAUCCGAACCGUCCAUUUCCCGUCCGUUUCCCUGCAUUACUCGAUCGGGUCGUCGGAGGCGCGGGCGUCGCGACUCCUCGCCGCCGCUUCCAUCACGCCUGUCCCUCCCCCGCACGGCGCAACGCGCCCUUCUCCGCCAGACGGUGGCGGCGCGGCGCGAGGAGGCUGCCUCCUAGCAUUGGUGGCGGAGACCCCAAAGAGGAGAAGUCACCGGCGGUUUGAUGUCGGAGACAGAGAGCGGCGCAGCUGGAGCCACGACGCCAACGCGCCUCGUGGGCUGGGGCGCGGCGUCCGGCCUCUUUCCCCGGGCUCUCACGAACCCGUUCAAGCUGAGCGACUCAUCUCCCCCGCGUCGCAACUCGCAACUCGCAAGCACGGAGAAGCCGCCGCCCUCUGCCUGCCCCCGCCGCCCACGCAUUUCUCCGCCUACGAGCUGCGGCUCGCGUGCGCCUCUCCCCGCUAACCUCGGCUCUCCACCUGCCACGCUGCCCACCCCGCCCGGCCCUUCCCUUUGCCGCGGUCGCGGCCCCGCCGCCUCGUCCCCUACCUCGCACAGCACGGCGUGCGUACUCUCGCAUGGUCCCCGGGGGCGUCGUCGGGACGCCAAGUUCAGCCCCAGCCUGCCACCACUCAGACGCACACCACGUGUUUGACAUCAGGCCUCAAGGUCGACCACAACACCAAAUCCAUCAGCGUUUCAGCAGCAGGGUUGACAAAGCUCUCGACAUCAGCCGGCGAAUAAUGACGAGGCAAAUCUACUGAUCGCUCAGUUGGAAUUCCUCAACGAGGAAGGACCACAACCUGAGCUCUGAACACGGUUUCCCUGAAGAGAAGGAUUUCUAUUUGAUGGAGCCCAACCCCUUGGAAAAAGUGUCCUAGUCCAUCUAUCUCUGAAUCUUCUUUGUUGCAUCCUACUGGGCAACAAUCUGCAGACAUUAGAACUGCAGAUUUGCAUUUUGGUAGAAUAUAUCAGGAAAUACCAUAAGAAGGUAGUCAAGAUAGAUAUGCAGGUUUUGCAAUUUUGCAUCAAUUCAACUUUUACUUCCUAAUAAUUUCCUUAAUUGUUUUUUUUUGAAAGAACAACGCACAAGAUAGUGCGUGUUUCAUUGAUAUAGCAGAAAAUUAGGCAGGAAAAAGAAAAGAAAAGGAAAACAAAAAAGACUCGUCCGGUUGGAUUGGGACAUCAACGCGGGUCACCACUCAACUCAAAACCAGCACACCCGACCGGUUGGAUUGGGACGUUAACGCGGCCUCCCUACUCCAUUCACCACGGCGGCAUCCACCAACAAUCACGCUCAUCAAUUUGCCGAAACCUCCAAGCGUGGCCCUGUGUCGACACCGAUAGAAGCAGACUGCGCUGCACCGAGAAGGCCACCGCCAUGCGGAACCCUCCUCCUUAAUUGUUAGACUCUUAUAGUCAGGCUAAUAUAUAGAAAAAAUAGAAAAUAUAAGAUUAUGUUAUGUCCA